RNAcentral lists this ribosomal RNA (253 nucleotides) under uncultured bacterium. RNAcentral describes it as "partial 16S ribosomal RNA". It matches the Rfam family "Bacterial small subunit ribosomal RNA", at positions 524 to 776 of the family's 1533-position model. The record is from RNAcentral.
UACGUAGGUGGCGAGCGUUGUCCGGAUUUAUUGGGUUUAAAGGGUGCGUAGGCGGCUUUGUAAGUCAGUGGUGAAAUACUCUAGCUUAACUAGAGGGGUGCCAUUGAUACUGCGGAGCUUGAGUACAGAUGAGGUAGGCGGAAUCGACGGUGCAGCGGUGAAAUGCAUAGAUAUCGUCAAGAACACCGAUAGCGAAGGCAGCUUACUGGGCUGUAACUGACGCUGAGGCACGAAAGUGUGGGGAUCAAACAGG